RNAcentral lists this transfer RNA (93 nucleotides) under Akkermansiaceae bacterium. Its description in RNAcentral is "tRNA-Sec". It matches the Rfam family "Selenocysteine transfer RNA". Lineage: Bacteria; Pseudomonadati; Verrucomicrobiota; Verrucomicrobiia; Verrucomicrobiales; Akkermansiaceae. The record is from RNAcentral.
GGAGAGUGUCGUGUGCCUGGUGGUCGCCGCGGUCUUCAAAACCGUUGAAACCCGUUAAGGGCUUGGCGGGUUCGAUUCCUUCCCUCUCCGCCA